AUGGCAGAGCUGUACAAAAACCCUUCCAGCCUUGCUGCAGCUGAGGGAGCUAUCCACAAUGCCUCCAGGAUCUCUUUCUUGAGUGGUGCUGCGCUGGGGGACUCGGUCCAGUCCAGGGAACCCCACCUCUCUGGAAGAGAAGGGGACGCUGUGACCCUCACUUGUUCCUAUGAUACCAGUUCUACCGGCUACGUCUAUCUCUUCUGGUACCGUCAGUUUCCCAACCAAGCCCUUCAGUACAUUCUCUUUAGAGGAGUGAAGCAGGCCAGAGGCCAGAGUGAUACCGCAGAUUUCGCCCAGCAGAGGUUUUCUUCCCAGGCUGAUGACAGCUCAACGGUUUUAACCAUCACAGCCCUGGAGCUGGCAGACACCGCGGUGUAUCUCUGCGCUCUGCAGCGAGCACAGUGACAGAGCCACAUGGCAGAGCUGUACAAAAACCCUUCCAGCCUUGCUGUAGCUGGGCUACACACACUGAGGCUGGAAAUAGGGGCCCUUGGCAGAUUUGUUAUUCUGUUAAGAAACUCAUAAUUAGGAAUAGUUUUGAUGGUGUCAAGGUAUUUCUUUCC
Non-coding RNA from Gopherus evgoodei (Goodes thornscrub tortoise), 566 nucleotides. Lineage: Eukaryota; Metazoa; Chordata; Testudines; Testudinidae. The record is from the annotation of a RefSeq genome assembly.